RNAcentral lists this ribosomal RNA (621 nucleotides) under Chlamydia abortus. Its description in RNAcentral is "partial Domain I of the 23S ribosomal RNA". It matches the Rfam family "Bacterial large subunit ribosomal RNA", at positions 1 to 609 of the family's 2925-position model. The record is from RNAcentral. Lineage: Bacteria; Pseudomonadati; Chlamydiota; Chlamydiia; Chlamydiales; Chlamydiaceae.
UACAGACCAAGUUAUUAAGAGUUAUUGGUGGAUGCCUUGGCAUUGACAGGCGAUGAAGGAUGCGUUUACCUGCAGUAAUCUUCGGCGAGCUGGUAUAAAGCUAUGACCCGGAGGUCUCCGAAUGGGGCAACCCGAUAGAUUAAUCAUCUAUCAUUGUACGCUGAAUACAUAGGCGUAUAAGGCGAUACCUGCUGAACUGAAACAUCUUAGUAAGCAGAGGAAAAUAAAUCAAAGAGAUUCCCUGAGUAGCGGCGAGCGAAAGGGGAGAAGACCAAACCACAUUUUUAAUGUGGGGUUGUAGGGUCGAUAACAUGGGAUCUUAAGUUUUAGUCGAAUACUUCUGGAAAGUAGAACGAUACAGGGUGAUAGUCCCGUAGACGAAAAAACAAGAGACUCUAUUCGAUACCUGAGUAGGGCUAGACACGUGAAACCUAGUCUGAAUCUGGGGAGACCACUCUCCAAGUCUAAAUACUAGUCAAUGACCUAUAGUGAACCAGUACUGUGAAGGAAAGGUGAAAAGAACCCUUGUUAAGGGAGUGAAAUAGAACCUGAAACCAGUAGCUUAUAAGCGGUCGAAGACCUAUAACUUCUUCGGAAGUCAUGGUUGACGGCGUGCCUUUU